Diorhabda carinulata is the source of this 974-nucleotide long non-coding RNA. RefSeq lists it as uncharacterized. NCBI's taxonomy places the organism in Eukaryota, Metazoa, Arthropoda, Insecta, Coleoptera, Chrysomelidae. The transcript has 2 exons. The record is from RefSeq and is a predicted model, not a curated record.
CUUGUUUGUGUGCGUAAAAUUGCAAUAAGCUGUUGCAAAAUAAUUUUUAUACGUUUAUAGACGUUACGUGUAACGUAAUAUUUAUAUAUUCCAGUCAUCUUGGCCAAAUAUCUCGGAAAAUCGACAUAGACAGUAUAUUACCACGUGUAAACUUAGCACCCUAAAACUAUUCUCAAAAUUCACAUAUAAUUGGAUAAAAGCAAAUUUUAAAGUCGGGGAUCAAAAGUUACAAAAAUCGAUUUUUUUUGCAAAUAUCUCGUUUUCUAUGGGUUUUACGCUACCGCCAAUUGGGGUGACUUAGGUUGGUCCAAGUGACACCUAAGGUACUUGGAUCAACCUUCCCAGAUGUACCGUUGGCACCACUGAGUUUUUGGCGGUCUAGUAAUUUCUCAUCAUUCCAAACAACUGUUUUCUCUACCAAAUAUUCAAAUAGUGCUUUAUAGUGGUGUUGAACUUUAGUUUGUGGAGCCUCCCUGAACAAAAGAUAUCCCCGCCCUUGGUACGCAACAACAAGGGAAAGCUAGGUACACGACCCUACAUGAAUUAUUCAAAAGAACUUCUGCAGGCAGACCGUGAAGAAGAAGACUGUAGACUAACUGUUUCCUCUGGCCAACGUAUGGAACCAGAUAGCAUCACAUACAAUGUUAGAGAUUUCCUUGCUGUUGAACUUAAAGGAAAGAAAUUAGUGGCACAUUACAUGGCAAAAAUACUAAGCUUUUGUAUUGAGAAGUUUCAGUCCUGCGAACAUCUGACAAGGGAAAAAAAAUCAGAUUCCCUGAAAUUUAAGGUGAGGCGACUAUGCAAGGCACAGACAUUGUUCUCAAAACAGGUACUCCACAAGAAAGAAGAGGAGUUUUCCAUGUUCCAAAUAUUUCUGAAGGGUCUUUUAAUUUUUUUUAUGUGUAUAUUUGACCAUCCUUUAUUUUCAAUACGUAUUUUAAAGUGUGAUUUAAAUGAGUUUAUUGAAGAAUUAA